UUCGUUGUGGUCUAGUGGUUAGGAUUUACGGCUCUCACUCGUAUUGCUCGAGUUCGAUUCCCGGCAACGGAG
This 72-nucleotide transfer RNA is filed under the name Angiostrongylus costaricensis. It matches the Rfam family "tRNA". Rfam says of the family: Transfer RNA (tRNA) molecules are approximately 80 nucleotides in length. Their secondary structure includes four short double-helical elements and three loops (D, anti-codon, and T loops). Further hydrogen bonds mediate the characteristic L-shaped molecular structure. tRNAs have two regions of fundamental functional importance: the anti-codon, which is responsible for specific mRNA codon recognition, and the 3' end, to which the tRNAs corresponding amino acid is attached (by aminoacyl-tRNA synthetases). tRNAs cope with the degeneracy of the genetic code in two manners: having more than one tRNA (with a specific anti-codon) for a particular amino acid; and 'wobble' base-pairing, i.e. permitting non-standard base-pairing at the 3rd anti-codon position. The record is from Rfam by way of RNAcentral. Lineage: Eukaryota; Metazoa; Nematoda; Chromadorea; Rhabditida; Metastrongylidae.